RNAcentral lists this non-coding RNA (29 nucleotides) under Rattus norvegicus (Norway rat). Lineage: Eukaryota; Metazoa; Chordata; Mammalia; Rodentia; Muridae. The record is from RNAcentral.
UAGUAUUUGGAUGAGUACUAAGGUCUCAG